Molecule: ribosomal RNA, 404 nt
Filed under: uncultured bacterium
Lineage: Bacteria
Description: bacterial SSU rRNA
Rfam family: Bacterial small subunit ribosomal RNA
Source: RNAcentral
UGGGGAAUAUUGCACAAUGGGGGAAACCCUGAUGCAGCGACGCCGCGUGAGCGAAGAAGUAUUUCGGUAUGUAAAGCUCUAUCAGCAGGGAAGAAAAUGACGGUACCUGACUAAGAAGCACCGGCUAAAUACGUGCCAGCAGCCGCGGUAAUACGUAUGGUGCAAGCGUUAUCCGGAUUUACUGGGUGUAAAGGGAGCGUAGACGGCUGUGCAAGCCUGAAGUGAAAGGCCGGGGCCCAACCCUGGGAGUGCUUUGGGAACUGUGCAGCUAGAGUGUCGGAGAGGCAAGUGGAAUUCCCAGUGUAGCGGUGAAAUGCGUAGAUAUUGGGAGGAACACCAGUGGCGAAGGCGUCUUGCUGGACGAUGACUGACGUUGAGGCUCGAAAGCGUGGGGAGCAAACAGG